This 233-nucleotide long non-coding RNA is filed under the name Carica papaya (papaya). Its description in RNAcentral is "long non-coding RNA (CPAP_LNC011828)". The record is from RNAcentral. Lineage: Eukaryota; Viridiplantae; Streptophyta; Magnoliopsida; Brassicales; Caricaceae.
CCCGAUUUUCGUUUUGCGUAAUUCUUUCACUAUUGUAAUUACUAUUCCCUUCUCUACAGGUUGAUCGAAGUAAAACACCCAACCGCAAAGGUGAACCGAGGCAGCCGCCGCAUUGAAGAACCCAGCCGCCGGUAAGUUUUGUUUUUCAUUUUUUUUUGGCCCAACUGAUGUCCCUUAAUGUACUUUCUUGCAGGGAUUGAUGCAAAACUAGCCAAAUUAGGCCGAAAACGGAU